AAAACAUAGAAUGUGCCUACCCUCCACCCAGUGCUUGAACAUCCCUUCCCCCUCAUCACUCCGGGGAAGGAUCCUGCUCAACACCCAACUACUCAUUCAAACCUGGAACCCGAAACUUUAAUGAAGGUUGCUCUACUGAGAUUUUUCUCCCCACCGAACAUGUCUGUGACCCACAAAGAAGCCCAUGAAAGAAAGUGCCCAGAGAAACCAGAGCUGUGGAAGGCUGGCUCGACGGUGCCCCUCACUGCCCCUGAGAAAACAGACCCAUUUCCUCUCUGCCCACCUCUUUCCCUGACAUGUCCCCAGCAGCAGUCCUGUAUUCCCAGUUCCUCUCAAGAUGUUCUGAAUAGUCUCUGGGUAUCCUCUCAUUGCCUUCAACUCAAGAUAUCUAAAACCAAAACUCAUUGUCUUCCCACUCAAAACGUCCUCCCCUUUCUGCUGCCAACCCCAGUCAGUAUUGUCUGCAGGCUUCCAGGCUUGGAUCCUUGACUCACGGCCACCCAAGCUUCCUUCCCCCGUGUGCGAUUAGUCAGUAAGUCUUAGUAGUGAUGAGGGCUUCCUGCACCGUGACUGUCCGGCAUGCUUUUUCCUCUCCCAUUUCCUCAGCCACCAGCAAUUCCAGGCCCCUCUUUACUUCGUAUGUAUUCUAGCGAGAUCAACUGGCAAGACAAAGCUCAGACGUCACCUCCAGAAGGUUUUCAUGGCUUGUGAUAAUCUGGCUUCACCUGUAUUCUACUUCAUGAGACAACUGACUAUCUCGUGGCCUCUUCCCUGUGGCCUCCAUCUCUCUUUGCAGCUCCAGUCCCUGGCACAUGCUUGGCACACAGCUCACUGCAGCUGCUCAAUGAGUUUUGUGGACUGGAUGUUUGCUUGUGGGAAGUGGAAGCAGGGACCAGAUGGAUGGGCAGAAGGAUUGUCCUAUUCAAAUAUGCACUGGUGGUCCUGUCUUGUGUUUGGGCACCAGUUGAAUCCAAGAGCUCUCAACCUGUGGAGUGUCGGAUGAAAUCUAUGGAAUCCCUCCUCAGAAAAGCAAAUGAACCCACACAAUGAUGGCGCAGUUUCAUUGUCAUCAGCCUCCUGAGGCGUAUCCACAAUCACCAGGAUAUGGGAACAAAGGAAUUGUGUUUAAAUGUAAAAAAGAAGUUCUAGAAUUUCCACAGAAUUUACAUUCUUCUUGUUGUAAGGAAUAUGCCUGGUAAUGGAACUCAAAUAUCAGCUUGGAUCGCCCUGGCCUUUGAAAUUUGAGGUAAAAUUAGGCUUAAGCCGUAUCCAGCGCACAACAGAAACCUCAGUGUCUCCCACCCAGGGACUGUCUCGGAGGCUGUGUGUUCAGAUGUCACUUCUGCCUCCCGGCAUCUGCUCCUGAGUUUUCACUCUUCAGCCUCCCCUCCCAAGGCCUCCUUCCUACCCUGGCACUGGGCUUCUUGCCCCGUCCCCCUAGAAUCCGUGGCACAGGGGCUUUAUCUGUGUGGAGUCUCUACAGACGGUUAGAAACACAGAGUCAGCUAGAAAUUAAGCAGUAGGCAGCUGUGAUGUUUUUUGACAGCCUCAUUUCUAAAACCCCUUCAGCAACCCCAGUCAAGGAGCUUCUCCCUCUAGACUCCAGCCUCCUGCUGAGUCACCUGCACCGUCUCUGCCUUCCUCCCCUUCCUCACAUCCUCCCUGGCCCCAUCUUCCAAUUCCUCUGAACUUCUGCAGAGCAGCCAGCUCUUCCUCCAGCUUCAACUUCCCCACCCCAAGCAGGUGGGGCAUCCUGACCCUGAGCAAAAGCAGUUCUCUCCCUAAGAAACACCGGUGACUUUUGUUCAUGGCACUCCAUGGAUGCAAAGCUCUGAGUUCUGUUGAACAGGGACUCACCUACGAGUGGUGGUGCUAUCAGCUGAGACGGGAAGCAGCACUCAGUAGAAGAAGAAAAGGCCUGGACUGGUGUGGGCAUGCACUGGCUCGUGAGAAGCAGGGAAGGUCGCUCUUAUGGGUCCCGUUUCUAAGUGACGUUCACGGCCUGGC
Long non-coding RNA from Homo sapiens (human), 2007 nucleotides. Lineage: Eukaryota; Metazoa; Chordata; Mammalia; Primates; Hominidae. The record is from Ensembl.